This 222-nucleotide RNase P RNA is filed under the name Nitrosopumilales archaeon CG_4_9_14_0_8_um_filter_34_10. RNAcentral's name for it is "RNase P RNA component". It matches the Rfam family "Archaeal RNase P", at positions 21 to 250 of the family's 288-position model. Rfam says of the family: Ribonuclease P (RNase P) is a ubiquitous endoribonuclease, found in archaea, bacteria and eukarya as well as chloroplasts and mitochondria. Its best characterised activity is the generation of mature 5'-ends of tRNAs by cleaving the 5'-leader elements of precursor-tRNAs. Cellular RNase Ps are ribonucleoproteins. Lineage: Archaea; Thermoproteati; Nitrososphaerota; Nitrososphaeria; Nitrosopumilales. The record is from RNAcentral.
CUGCUACGGCAGAGGAAACUCCUCCCUCCAUACAGGAAAUGUGAUCCGGAGAUGGAUAAUCAGAGAUGGUUGGCAACGGAGCAGAAAAGAAUCUAACCUGGCGCACGAUGAUGGCAAAACCUGAGAUUUCCAGAGAAGGAAUGAAAAAGACGUCCCACAUGGAGCAAAGCCAAACAGAACUAUAGGAUCCUGUACCAAGUUCAGGUAGGCUGCAAAGCGUAA